AUUGAACGCUGGCGGCAGGCCUAACACAUGCAAGUCGAGCGGAUGAAGGGAGCUUGCUCCUGGAUUCAGCGGCGGACGGGUGAGUAAUGCCUAGGAAUCUGCCUGGUAGUGGGGGAUAACGUCCGGAAACGGGCGCUAAUACCGCAUACGUCCUGAGGGAGAAAGUGGGGGAUCUUCGGACCUCACGCUAUCAGAUGAGCCUAGGUCGGAUUAGCUAGUUGGUGGGGUAAAGGCCUACCAAGGCGACGAUCCGUAACUGGUCUGAGAGGAUGAUCAGUCACACUGGAACUGAGACACGGCCCAGACUCCUACGGGAGGCAGCAGUGGGGAAUAUUGGACAAUGGGCGAAAGCCUGAUCCAGCCAUGCCGCGUGUGUGAAGAAGGUCUUCGGAUUGUAAAGCACUUUAAGUUGGGAGGAAGGGCAGUAAGUUAAUACCUUGCUGUUUUGACGUUACCAACAGAAUAAGCGCCGGCUAACUUCGUG
RNAcentral lists this ribosomal RNA (484 nucleotides) under uncultured bacterium. RNAcentral describes it as "partial 16S ribosomal RNA". It matches the Rfam family "Bacterial small subunit ribosomal RNA", at positions 30 to 507 of the family's 1533-position model. The record is from RNAcentral.